This 9880-nucleotide long non-coding RNA is filed under the name Nicotiana benthamiana. Its description in RNAcentral is "long non-coding RNA (NBEN_LNC020373)". Lineage: Eukaryota; Viridiplantae; Streptophyta; Magnoliopsida; Solanales; Solanaceae. The record is from RNAcentral.
AGAUUGAACUAAAAUCUCUUUUGUUUCUCCUUCUCUCCCACAAAACCCUAACACCGCCUCUCUUUCCAUUGCCAAGGUUGGCCAGUGUUGGAUCUCCGAAACACCACCCAAAUCUCACCAUGCAACCUCUACCUUUCCCUCAAUCAAAGUCCACUAUCAUUCCCCCAUAAAACCUCAUCAAAGCAGCCUAUUUCUUGAAUCUAAGGCUGACGGAAAAGGAGUUCGUUAGGUUUCCAGAUUUCUUUGAGCAAUAGGGUCUAAAACGAGUAUUAACCAUUUGUUCUCGUCAAGAACAUGUGGUUAAUACCUGUGUUGGAUCAAAUCAUAAUUUCUUAAAUUCUAUCAGUUUAGGAAUCAAAAGAUUUCAGAGGUAUCGUCUUCCAUAUUCUUCGUGUGUUUUGUUUAAAUUUUCAAUACUUUGUUCUUUUGUUUUAUUCUUCUCCAUAUUAUGUUCUUUAUUUGGUAUUUAGUUUUUAUUUUUUGCUAUUCAGUGGUUAAUUUCAAUUAAUCGUUUUGGCUAGAAUAAUUUUAUUUGUUAUUACAAGUUAGCAUUAAGUUGUUUAGUUUAGUCGAUUGAGCUGUUUCAGAACUAGUUUCGCCAUGUUUUCAUUUUUAGGGAAAUUUUGACCCUUCUCUGGGACAAUUUUACUUAGCCCAAGGAAUUCACGAGGGCCUUGAAAUCAGAGGCAUCAAAUAGUUCGUUUGGGUCUGCCUAGACCCAUUAGGCUGGGUCAAUUGACCCAUUUUUUUUCUAAGAUUUAAGAGGAAAUAACAGGGGUUGUCAGGUAGCUUAGGUAUUCGGAGGAUAUAUUAUCUUUCAUAACAAACUAAGAUGCUUCUAGGGUGGGUGGGAUUUGAAUUUCAGCCUUUUGGGUAGUCGAACUUGGAGAACAAGUCAGAAAUAUAUGGAUACCUAAGCAAUAAUGAGAAUUCAGAAAGGAUUGAAAAUGAAAACUGAAAAUCUGAAGCUCCCCCUUAGUUUUUCCUAUAAAAGACAGUAGAUGAUGCCUUAAUGGAAGAGUUUUUUUAGCCUUUACAAUUCCCCCCAAAAAAUAUUCUAUAGUUUCCAGAAGCUGAAAUUUGAAUUUCAGAUUCAAAAACUAGGUCUGGAAUUUGAAACCUCUUUUAGAUCUUAAACUUUUCAGAAAAUAAAAAAAAUAGCAGAAACUCCAAAAGAUAUAUUGUUACAUCAAGCUUUUGUAGAUCGAUUGCAAGUUCAGCUUGUUAAUCUGAGUUCCUAGUGUUCCUGGACUCAAUUGCAAGUUCGUUAUUGGUUUAUUCAAGUUAUUUUUGGGUGUUUCUAAUAGAUGAAGGUUUUCUAGAAUUUAUGGGUUCAAUUUCAAGUUCAUUUGGGUUUAUUCAAGUUGUUUAUGGUUGAUUUCCUAGUUUUCUCUGAUUUCGAACUCUUCCUGGAUUGUCGAAUUCAUUUCUGGGCUGUUAUCCGAUCUCUGCUCGUUAUUGCUGCUGAUUUCUUCUUCUUAUAUUUCAAACAUCCAAGUACAUUUUAUGUAACCUUCAAGCUUGUGUACAUGAAGUGAAAUGUUACUUGAGAUGAUUUCGGAUUUCUCAUGUUUUGUUUUAAUUCAAAAGUAUAGAACAAUUAUGUUUAUUCGAAUCACUUGUAUAAUUGGACAGUUUGAGGUUGUGUAGGACUGUUAAACUCAUUUGAUUUGUGUGAAGAUUUGAAACAUCAGGUUUAAUUUGGUUACACCUUAAUUCGUGUUGUAGUUAAAUAUGAUAUUUUGCCUAUGAUAGUUUAGCAUGGGAGGUUUGUGCUAGUAGUAAGAAACUGAUUCUGAAAUCGUUAAUGAUAUAGUUUGUAGUUAAUGUUAAAAUAAUGAUUACAUUUAGGAAUUGAACAUUCUGGGUCAUUUCAGCUUUAAUUAUACUAGUCAUGAGGGCUGCAUAAGGAUCACGUCCCUAUUGGAAUCAAACUGUGAGAGCUUGAAACUGCUGUUAUUGUGUUAGUCUUUAAAAUUUGCAAGCCUAUUUACUUUUUAAAAGGUUGUUUAAUUGCGGAUAGUCAUUGUUAGGUUGAAAAUAGUUUCGAGUUUUCUUACAAAUGUGAUAGCCUGUUGUUAUUUAAUUUAAAUUCGAUGGCAUCUUAAGUCUUUACUUCAAGUUGAAAAUCAGAUGUUGAGCCCUUUUGUUUCCUGAAUUUGGGCCUAUGCCUUCUGUCAAUUUGGGCCUUGUUCCAAAAUCCAGGCAUUAGAAACUUCACAAACUACUUAAUUAGGCUUUUUGUAGAGACAAUCCAUAAGAGGAAAAUCGUAGUCUUUUAGGUUAGCUUUUUAAAAAAAUGAGGUGCGCCGCGCCCAAACAAAACCAUAAAUCUCAUUGCCCUCUUAAUCAUAUUAAAAAUACUUUAGACCAUGGGACGAUCCAUUAGCGAAUUUUAUGGCCUCCCACAAAGUUAAUGAUAUGCUAGUUGCUUUAGGCCCGACAUUUAAUAAUAAUACUUUCCUAAAUUCGGGUGCACAUUUAUGUGACCCAAAUUUAAAUCUCAACGAAGUUGAAAUGUGUCAAAACCUACGAGUGUAUUUAUGUGAUGUGAUUCAAGAUAUGUUUUCACGACAUUGCAAUUCUCUUUUAAAAUAAUAAACAUGUCUUAAAAUCAGAUAUUUAGCCAAAUAUGACAGUUGAGCGACCAUGCUAAAACAACAGGACCUGGGAUGCCUAACACCUUCUCCCGGGUUAACAGAAUUUCUUACUCGGAAUUUUUAUUCGCGGAAUGUUAAACAGAGACAAUGAUUUCCUCGAUUCGGGAUUCAACUGGUAACUUGGGACACCAAUAGUCUCCUAAAUGAUAACUCUGAAUUUUUAAUAAAUAAAUUCCGUUUCAAUUGUCCUUUAAUUAGAAAAACUCCUUUAGGCCCUUACGGGUGUAGGUAAAAAGGAGGUGUGACCAGGGGUGAUUUGUGUGGUAUCCAAUAUUCGAUCUUGAAAAUUUUGAUUCUUCUAGGUGUUCUAACUGCUACUGUUUUCGAUAUUAAAAUACAAAAAUAAAAGAAUACAAAGAUUUUUACGUGGAAAAUACCUGGCUCAAUAGGCGAAAAACCCACAACCUACUACUCCGUAGUAUUUUCUCAAACAUCCACUAAACUCAAUGAGCCAAAAUAGUAUUUACAAAAAUCUUGUAAACCUAAGGAUUAACUAUAAUCCCAGUGUGGCACACGGCCUCAACUGUUGCGACCCUUCAAGUUAACUCUAACUUGAACACUCAAAGUGCCUAAUACAAUUGCUUCUAUGAAAGUUGGAAAGGUACAAGUUUUAAGCCACCUAAUGUAAUUGAACUAGAAUAAGAAUAAAUACAAUGGAACUGGUUCUUCUAUAUCGUUCAAGUAGCUGCAUGAGUGCACUCUUUAUCUCACAUAAAUUGCUUGCAAAAUUGUCUUGCUCUUUUGCUCUCAAUUUAGCUUAACUUCUGUGUGUGCAUAUCUAUAAAAGAGAACAACUCAGUAACUUAUUAGGUUAGUAAUCAGAUUUUGAUUGUGAUUCAAUUUCUUAUCCUCCAUUUAAUUUGAGUCCUAGAACAAUAUAAACUCCAAUCCUUAUCUGAUGUGUUCUCUUCUGAUAAGGACACUUCUUCUCCUUAUCCCAUAUGCAAUAUUUUCGAUCAGUUCAGAAGAUAUUCAGAAGAUAUUCCUGCUUGAUACCAAAGGCUUAUCUUCUUCAUGGCAUCCCAUAUGCAUGGGCCAUAACCACUGUGUCUCAUAAUAUUGACCUGGCCUUUCACUGGGUUCAUUUGUCAUUCUUCAAAACUUCAAGUGAACUUGGGCCGAGUAAUUCCCCUUUUUUAAUGAUGAUAAACUCUGUACUUUUACUGAUUAGAGAACCUAUGGAACUCAUCUAAUUAUCAAUACUUUUACUUAAGAUAAUUUAAUUCAUCAUUAAGGACCAUAUUUAAUCAGGUUAUAAAUAUCACUUUUUUAGAAUAAAAGUAAAGCAUAAUAUCUCUUCUCCCUUUUGGCAUCAUCAAAAAGUUUCAUAUCAUGUGAAUCCCAGAUUGUAAUAGUUACACAUGGCCAGUGGGUCAACUGCAUGUUAAAGCAUGGUUUAGUGAAACAAUAAUCAACCUUGACAAAAACUUAACUAUUGGGAGCAAAUUCAUCACAAGUAAGAGAAAAGUUGAUUAUCAUUGAUAGUAAAUGCUUCUACAACCAGUCCACAAAAAGAAAGAAAAACAUUCAACCAUGAGAAACAAAAACAAGCAAAGAAAACUCCCUAAUCUGGGUCAUUGGGGGGUUACUAGACUGGUUCAAGGACAAUUCUGGGGGACCUAAGGCUUGGAGGAACUAGAAGGUUGGGAUUGGAGAAUAUUGAGCAUCGUUUAAAGCAUCCCUUCACCCUUUUCGUUUUCUUUUGCUAGCUCAUCUUUUAGGCUAUUCCUCUCAUUUUCAAGUUCAGCAACUCGAGCCUUAAGCCUAGCAAUCUCAGCAUCCUUUGACCAAGACUCUUUAACCAAAUCCCUAACCUUGUUGUUCACUGGAGUCUUCAAAGAUAAACCAUGUUCAAUUGGGCCUGUACUGAGGAGAUAGUCACAAGCCUACAGGGUUUUGACACCAAAAUGGUCCUUGCUGGAGGCCAUCUUUCAUUUCUUCAAGGGAAAAUUCAAUCUAUCCAGCACACUCAUAAAUACGAAACCAUAGGGAGUAGUAAGAUCCUUGGAGCCAUUUAUGACAUUGUCCUGUAACUUGACAAUGAAGGCUGGCCAAUUAAUUUGCUUUCCUCUCACAAGGCAUUCCAUAAGAGCCAAGUCCAUAUGAUUAGAAGUAUGUCUCCUCUCCUGUCAGGGCAGCAGACACUUGUUCACAAAUUCUAAUAGCACCUUGUGCUCAGACUUCAUCUCACUCUUCUGUACAAAUCCUGCCUCUGGCACAUCUUAGCAGACUCAGUGUCACAAAAUUUCCUGGUUAUUUGGAGAGCACUAGGAAGAUCAUAUAGAUAAGGACACCUCUGCUUAUUAUAGUCAUCAUAUCCCUCGCAUGGUAUGUCUAGAAUUGUCCCCAAUUUAGGUGCAUUAAAUUGCACCUUCACUCCCCUAACCACACUGCUGACUACCCCAUUUUUCACAGUGGCAUUUGCCAUAAACACGUUCAGCUUCUUUCUUGUCAGCCUUCCAUCCAGUUGAAGGACCAUGUCCUUCCAACCUUUUACAGCUAGAGGAUCCACCAACCUAAUCAUGUCUAGAUCCUCCAGGUCUUUCAACAAUCUUCCAUUCAGAAUCUUUCUCUUGCCAAAGAUGGCAAAUCCAUCUUGUUCCGUUUCAGACUCCUCAUCUUCUUCUUCUACACUACACUCUUCUUCUUCUUCUUCAGUAACUUUUACUUGUUAUCCCUUCAUUGCAGACCUAGUUCUUUUGGCCAAGAAGGGUUCAGCAGAUACAGAUUUUGAAGACUUCUUUGCAGGAGUCUUGGUUCCUUUUGGUUUGGCAAUGGGAACCUCCACAGUUGUACCCCUCUCUUGAUGGACCAAUUCCACCUCCUCCUCCUGUUCUUCAGCAGCCUCAGAAUAUUCCAUAACCUUUUCUUUCUUCUUUUUCUUACUCUUCUCUAAAGCUUUCUAUAGUUCUCCCUUGCUUUGCUUGACCCUGCUCCUUGUAGCUUUUUCUUUUGGCAAUGAAGGAACAGCAGACUUGGAAGAUGACACCUUGCUUUUUUUAAAUGGUUUGGAAGCGAUUGGGGACUUUUUGGAAGAAGCCUUGCGCUUCUUUGGAUCAUAACUGGCCCCAACCUUCUUCAAGAUAUCAGCCAAGGUUUCCUUCACGCAUGAACCAGGUUCAUCUUGCUGCUCACUCAGAUAAACAAGGCCUUCAGCAGCCUCUCCAGAACUACUUCCCCCUGACUUGACGCCACCCUCUUCUACACUACCGCAUAUAGCAAGAACUUCUCCUUUAUUUUUCUUUCCCCUUCUUCUAGACCCAGUCCCCUCUACAAUUUGUACAGAUACAACCAACACAAACCUAUUUUUCUCCCUUUUUACCACAUCAGAAAAAGCAAAACAAGUAUUUAUUUCACUUGGAUUUCUUGAUUCUUGUCAGUGUCAGAAGACUUAUGUUAUCUACCAUCACUUGCAGAGAGAAAUACCUCAGACUCAGAUCUUGAGUCAAAUUCUUUUGCUGGACUUUCCUUCUUUUGGCUAGCUUUCAAUUUUUUGUUUAAGGCUUUUCUCAAAGGGCCCGAAGCUACAGUUUUCCUAGCAACAUUUUAUGGCGAUGAAUCCUAGGUUUGGGGCUUUUAACAGGAGGGUGGAGGAUGAAGUAUUAGGAGAUACUGGCGGGGGGAGUACCUGGGUUGUCUUGAGGGUUUGUCAUGGUAGAGAAUUUUUGGUAAUUUUGGAAAUUUUGGAUAUGAAGGAGAUGAUCAGAAUUUUGGAGAGGGUGAGUGACGGUUUUGAGCAUGAAGAAGAGAUGUGGUGUGUAUUUAAAGAGGUUUUAUGAUUAAGUUCAGUAACGGCAGGCUUUUUCAGUUGUCAAUUAAAGGUCUAAUCAUAUUAGAAUUCCGGUCUCUUGGUGAUUAAUGGACGACGCUAGUUUUUAGGAAAACAUUUUGUUUUAAUUAGACUCCUAGGGUAAUGAAACUGGUUUAAUGUUCAAUGGAUACAAUUUUUGGAAGCUUUGUGUAGUUAGGACUUUUGCUCAUGAUUGAGAAAUUUCUCUUUCUAAUUGUGCAAAGUAUAGAAACAUACCUGAACUUUCUCAUGAGCAUAUACUGAUGAACCAGGUUCUUCAAGUAAAAUUUCUCUUGAUCAUACCUCAAAUGUCAAAAUAGAAAAACUUUGUAAAAGAUCAGUGAAUCAUAUAACCACAAGUCAUAGAAAUAUACUAACUAAAGUAUGAAACUGAGUAAGAAUUAAUCUAGAUAUUUACAUGAUAUUAAGAGCUCCUAACCAAAAACAAAUUUCUUGUGCAUUCUGAAUUGGAUCUUUUAGGUGAUCUUAAUCAUCCAUAAUUCGAACAUGUUCCUUUCAAAGUUUUCUCUGCUCAUUGCUUUAGUGAAGAUAUCAGCUAUUUAUUUAUUAGUAGCACAGAAUUCUAUUGAGAUUAGCCCUUUUCUCAUAGUUAUCUCUUAAGAAGUGGUGUCUAACAUCUAUGUGCUUGGUCCUUUUAUGAUGAACAUGGUUCUUUGUCAUACUUAUAGCACUAGUUUUAUCACAAAUUAUUGGAAUACAUCCCACUUCAAUUCCAAAGUCUAUCAUCUGUUGUUUGAUCCAUAGCAAUUGAGCACAACAUGAAGCAGCAGCAACAUAUUCAGCUUCAGCAGUAGAUAGGGCUACUGAAUUUUCCUUUUUGGUAGCCCAUGGCACAGACAUGACCCCAAGAAAUGUGCCAUACCAUAAGUGCUCUUCCUGCCACUAAGAAACCUGCAUAAUCAGCAUCAGCAUGUCCUACUAGAUCAAAAUUUCUACCUUUGGGAUACUAAAGACAUAGAUCAGUGGUGCCUUUCAGAUAUCUCAGGUCUAUUGGCAGUAAGAUACAAUAGUGAAGCAAUCAUACCCCUAUACAACUUUUGAUUAACUGAUGAACCAUGUUCAUCAACAUCUAAUUUAGUCACAGUUGCAAUAGGUGUAUCUAUUUCUUUGGAGUCCUCCAUUUAAACUUUUUAAUUACUUCUUUUGUAUACUUGUAACGACCCGGCCGAUCCUAUUUCAAAUUUAUGCCUCGUUCCCCCAUUAACUGCUUCUCCUAAGUUCAUUUCUGCUAUUUUGGUUUGCCGAGACGUACGGUAUUAGGACUUGGAGUGUUUUGGUACACUUAAUCCCUAAUUGAGAACUUAAGUGUUAGAAAGUGGUUCGUAAUUGGAACAAUGUAAAGACGACCUUGGAAGGGAAAUCUAAUGGUUCAUUUAGCUCUGUUAGGUGAUUUCAGGUUGGGAGCGUGUUCGGAAGGUGUUUUAGUUGUCAAUAACUCAUAUAGGCAAGAAAUGCCAAAACUUAAAAUUUUGAAGGUUCCAGUCCGAUAGUGAAUUUUUUAUCCGAGGGUAAGAAUGGAAUUCCAGAAGUUUUUGUAGCACCUCGUGUCAUUAGGGACGUGCACGCAAAUUUUAGGUCAAUCGGACGAGUGUCGGUUAGAUUUUUUAUCGAAAGCGUAUUUUGGAUGAACUUGAAGUUCUUAGGCUUGAAUCUUUGAUUUAGUCGAGUUUCCGUUGUUGUUUUAUAUAUCGUAAGGAUUGGCGUAGGUUUGAAUAAGGUAUUAGGUUGUAUUGGUGUUUUUGGUUGAGGUCCCAGGGGCCCCGGGUGUAUUUUGGAUGCUCAUUGGACAAAUUUAUGGAGUUAUAAGAAAAAAAUUCAACAAGUCUUUGGGUAUUUCCACUUCCGCAGCUUGGGAACUGCAGAAGUAGAGCCGCAGAAGAAGAGUCGCAGAAGCGGCAUGGCAACCGCAGAAGCUAAAGGAAGGCAAGUCAGCUAGGUGCGCAGAAGCGGUGGAAUUUUCGCGAAAGCAGAAUCACUUCUGCGAGUGUAUGACCAUAGAAGCGGAACCUGGAGUUUAUGUGAGGAGUCGCAGAAACGGCUAGUGGUCCGCAAAAGUGGGACGCAUAAGCGGUCCUUGUCCGCAGAAGCGGAAAGCACUAUUAUAAAAAGUGGAAAUCCGAGGGUUUAUUUCAAAAGUUAGAUAAACCAAAAUUUAGCUCGGGAGAAGGCGAUUUUGGGUGAAAUUUGAAGAAAAGAUCAGUGGGUAAUGUUUUAUUAACCUCAUUUAGUUAUUUUUCUACCAAUGUCUAGUUAAAUCCACCAUCAGAAUUCAAAUUCAAGGUCAAAAUUGGGGGAAAUUGGAUGAAACUUCUUAGACUUAAUUAUUUUAUUUUGAUGGGCAUUUGACCUCUUAUUUGGGAGAUAUUUAUAUGGUUAGACUCGUGAGAGUACGAGGGUUCGGAAUAUUUGAAAAUUAUUUGAUUCCGAGUUGUUGGAAUGAGGGGCGUUUUGGUCAUUUUAUCUAUUUUCAUGUCGUAGCUAUACUUUUAAUUGUGGAAUUAGUUACCUAUGAUUUUAUUUAUGUUAUCUAAUUAGAUUGAAUAGAUUUGGGCCAUUUAGAGUCGGAUACUCGUGGCAAAGGCAUUGUUCAUAGUUGAUUUCGGUACCGGUUGGAGGAAAGUGGCUUGAUUAACUUUUUGUGGGGGACCUCUCCCCUUAGGAUAUAGUAUUUGUUAUUUUAAAUGCCUUGUACGCAAGGUGACAGACAUGUACUUGGACUAAUUGCUGCAAAUCUGUUUUAAUUAGAAUAUUUAAGCUAUGUUUUCUUGCAUAUUUGCCUAAUCUAAAUGCCAUUUAACUUGUGUUAUCUUAAGAAAAGCAUGUGUAGAUGACUUACUUGCUUAUUUGCCUAAAUUGUAUUAUCUGUCCUCCGUGAAGCAUGCUAGACUAAAAUUCUAUUAAUUGUUCAUACUUAGAAUUAUAUUAUAUUUGAAUUAUUGUGGUGUGUUUAGAAUUUAGGACUACGGGACAACAUCCUGGAAGUUUCCCCUACACGUGUUACAUACUAAGACCGAGAGUGUGGAUAUCAAGAGAUCCCUGGCACAGAUAUGACUAUAAGAUGGAGGAUACCAGAAGAUCCACGGGAUACUAAGAAAUCCCUUGUGUAUAAAUGGAGGGUACCAACAGAUCCUCGGGAUACUAGGAGAUCCCUCAUGUAUAUUAUGAGGAUACCAGGAGAUCCUCGGGACACCAGGAGAUCCCCAAUGAUAAAUAUCUGAUGGUCUUUGUACUUCUAUUUAUUUACUGUGUUGGUUCUCGGUUACAGUCUUAUUUGUUAUCUUGCUAGAUUCUCGCAAUAGAUUAUAUCCAUGUUGUCUUUUCCUUAUCAUAUUGAUUAUUAUGUUUUUAUCUCAAUGGGGCCUCGACCUUCCUUGUCACUACCCGACCGAGGUUAGUCUUGCCACUUACU